AUUGAACGCUGGCGGCAGGCCUAACACAUGCAAGUCGAGCGGAUGAAGGGAGCUUGCUCCUGGAUUCAGCGGCGGACGGGUGAGUAAUGCCUAGGAAUCUGCCUGGUAGUGGGGGAUAACGUCCGGAAACGGGCGCUAAUACCGCAUACGUCCUGAGGGAGAAAGUGGGGGAUCUUCGGACCUCACGCUAUCAGAUGAGCCUAGGUCGGAUUAGCUAGUUGGUGGGGUAAAGGCCUACCAAGGCGACGAUCCGUAACUGGUCUGAGAGGAUGAUCAGUCACACUGGAACUGAGACACGGUCCAGACUCCUACGGGAGGCAGCAGUGGGGAAUAUUGGACAAUGGGCGAAAGCCUGAUCCAGCCAUGCCGCGUGUGUGAAGAAGGUCUUCGGAUUGUAAAGCACUUUAAGUUGGGAGGAAGGGCAGUAAGUUAAUACCUUGCUGUUUUGACGUUACCAACAGAAUAAGCACCGGCUAACUUCGUGCCAGCAGCCGCGGUAAUACGAAGGGUGCAAGCGUUAAUCGGAAUUACUGGGCGUAAAGCGCGCGUAGGUGGUUCAGCAAGUUGGAUGUGAAAUCCCCGGGCUCAACCUGGGAACUGCAUCCAAAACUACUGAGCUAGAGUACGGUAAAGGGUGGUGGAAUUCC
Molecule: ribosomal RNA, 647 nt
Filed under: uncultured Pseudomonadales bacterium
Lineage: Bacteria; Pseudomonadati; Pseudomonadota; Gammaproteobacteria; Pseudomonadales
Description: bacterial SSU rRNA
Rfam family: Bacterial small subunit ribosomal RNA
Source: RNAcentral